UACGUAGGGUGCGAGCGUUAAUCGGAAUUACUGGGCGUAAAGCGUGCGCAGGCGGUUUUGUAAGUCAGAUGUGAAAUCCCCGGGCUCAACCUGGGAACUGCGUUUGAAACUACAAGGCUAGAGUGUAGAAGAGGGGGGUAGAAUUCCACGUGUAGCAGUGAAAUGCGUAGAGAUGUGGAGGAAUACCGAUGGCGAAGGCAGCCCCCUGGGCUAACACUGACGCUCAUGCACGAAAGCGUGGGGAGCAAACAGG
This 253-nucleotide ribosomal RNA is filed under the name uncultured beta proteobacterium. RNAcentral describes it as "partial 16S ribosomal RNA". It matches the Rfam family "Bacterial small subunit ribosomal RNA", at positions 524 to 776 of the family's 1533-position model. The record is from RNAcentral. Lineage: Bacteria; Pseudomonadati; Pseudomonadota; Betaproteobacteria.